RNAcentral lists this ribosomal RNA (114 nucleotides) under Patescibacteria group bacterium. The record is from RNAcentral.
GUUGGUGCUUUGUCAGAGGGGGUACACCCGAUCUCAUUCCGAACUCGGCAGUUAAGCCCUCUAGAACCAAUGGUACUCAGCGUUACAGUUGGGGAGAGUAGGUAAGCGCCAACA